Molecule: long non-coding RNA, 1039 nt
Filed under: Danio rerio (zebrafish)
Lineage: Eukaryota; Metazoa; Chordata; Actinopteri; Cypriniformes; Danionidae
Description: lncRNA (ENSDARG00000117491.1)
Source: RNAcentral
GAGAAAACAACGAUACGAGGGUGCAAUUCAGAGACCUGCUAGUUUUAGCUGGAGCAGAGAACAUACUUUUUUUUCAACACGUUCUCACUCCCAACUCGUCAUAUACUGACGCUUGGUCAGGAACCCUCGGCGUAAGUUAUUGACGCACAGGGUACCCCUUUAGCGUCAUAUUUAGACGUGCAGGGAUUCCCUAUAGAAUCUGUGCCUGAGCCUGAGGCGUCAUAGGGAGACGCUGGAGGCUCGUAUAAUUACCAAUAGAUGUCAACGAAAUUUUUAAAACCUGAUUUACGCCUAUUAUCUUAGUUUUCUUAUUUUAAAAAUAAGUAAUUUUUAUUUUGUUCACGAAAAGCGUCUGUAAACUGGGUCGAAACUACUGUAUGAAUAAACUUCGGUCCACGUGACAUCCCUUCACGGUGAGUUUAACGCCGCUCUGCUAUUGGUCAAACUGCAUCAGCGGUGAGUUCUCAGAUGAGUUCAACUGUCAACAUUAAAUAUUACGUUAAUGCUGCAUAAUGUAUUUUUAUUGGAGAUUAGUUGGUGUUUAUAAAUAUGUUAUCAUUUACUUUAUAUUUAAUGAGUGAAAAUAUAUUCGGUUGUCCAGUUUAGGGUAACUAUCUCUAAUAAAACUUUGAUUCAUUUAUAUUAUUUAUUAUUUUUUUACUUUAAAAAAUAUUACAUUUCAAGUACUAAGUUUAAAAAUGUUUUCGGCUGAUCUUUUUCAUUUUAAAUUAUUUAUUGAAGUUGGGGUCAUUGUAUGUGGCGAUCUAUUUUUUACAGUCUAUGCUCGCUAUCCCAAGGUUCAUUGCGAUCCCAAGGUUCACUGCGGUUUUCCACAAGCCUGUUUCUGCCUAUCACCAUGAGUGAUUCCUUUAUACUCAGAUUUAUUAUCAAGAUCUCAAUUAUUAGCUCAAGUCUUGAUGACAACUUGAUGAUCUGCAGGAAGCACCACCAUGUAAGGAAGGCCAAGACCACUCUGGAAUCAGUCAAGGCUCAUAGGAACUCCAAUCUUCCCAACUGUGAGAGAGCCUUGCUCCAGUGA